CCUACGGGAGGCAGCAGUGGGGAAUAUUGCACAAUGGGGGAAACCCUGAUGCAGCAACGCCGCGUGGGUGAAGAAGUAUUUCGGUAUGUAAAGCCCUAUCAGCAGGGAAGAGAAUGACGGUACCUGACUAAGAAUCCACGGCUAACUACGUUCCAGCAGCCGCGGUAAUACGUAGGGGGCAAGCGUUAUCCGGAGUUUCUGGGUGUAAAGGGAGCGUAGACGGUUGGUGAAGUCUGAAGUGAAAGCCCGCGGCUCAAUUGCGGAACUGAAUUGGAAACUGUGUAACUGGAGUACAGGAGAGGUAGGCGGAAUUCCUGGUGUAGCGGUGAAAUGCGUAGAUAUCAGGAGGAACACCGGCGGCGAAGGCGGCUUACUGGACAGUAACUGACGUUGAGGCUCGAAAGCGUGGGGAGCAAACAGGAUUAGAUACCCGGGUAGUC
This 440-nucleotide ribosomal RNA is filed under the name uncultured bacterium. RNAcentral's name for it is "partial 16S ribosomal RNA". It matches the Rfam family "Bacterial small subunit ribosomal RNA", at positions 338 to 795 of the family's 1533-position model. The record is from RNAcentral.